RNAcentral lists this small RNA (154 nucleotides) under Haemophilus aegyptius ATCC 11116. It matches the Rfam family "Bacterial large subunit ribosomal RNA", at positions 13 to 167 of the family's 2925-position model. The record is from RNAcentral. Lineage: Bacteria; Pseudomonadati; Pseudomonadota; Gammaproteobacteria; Pasteurellales; Pasteurellaceae.
AAGCGUACAAGGUGGAUGCCUUGGCAAUCAGAGGCGAAGAAGGACGUGCUAAUCUGCGAAAAGCUUGGAUGAGUCGAUAAGAGGCGUUUAAUCCAAGAUAUCCGAAUGGGGAAACCCAGUAGAUGAAGAAUCUACUAUCAACAAGUGAAUUCAU